UCCUCCCUCUUUCUUCGUGCUUAACACAUGCAAGUCGAACGGAAAGGCCCUGCUUGCAGGGUGCUCGUGUGGCGAACGGGUGAGUAACACGUGGGUGAUCUGCCCCUUACUUUGGGAUAAGCCUGGGAAACUGGGUCUAAUACUUGAUAGGACCAUGCUGUAGGUGGUGGGGUGGAAAGAUUUUUUCGGUAAGGGAUGAGCUCGCGGCCUAUCGGCUUGUUGGUGGGGUAGUGGCAUACCAAGGCGUCGACGGGUAGCCGGCCUGAGAGGGUGGACGGCGACAUUGGCACUGCGACAAGGGCCAGAAUCCUACGGGAGGCAGCCGUGAGGAGUGAAACACAAUCGGCGCAAGCCCGAUGCAGCGACGACGGGCUGGGGAUGGUGGACUUCGGGUUGUAAGCAAGUUCCAGCCAGGACGAAACCGCGCUUAUGGUGACGGUAGUUAUAGAAGAAGCACCGGCUAACUACGUG
This 471-nucleotide ribosomal RNA is filed under the name uncultured bacterium. RNAcentral's name for it is "partial 16S ribosomal RNA". It matches the Rfam family "Bacterial small subunit ribosomal RNA", at positions 36 to 507 of the family's 1533-position model. The record is from RNAcentral.